This 490-nucleotide ribosomal RNA is filed under the name uncultured bacterium. RNAcentral describes it as "partial 16S ribosomal RNA". It matches the Rfam family "Bacterial small subunit ribosomal RNA", at positions 30 to 507 of the family's 1533-position model. The record is from RNAcentral.
AUUGAACGCUGGCGGCAGGCCUAACACAUGCAAGUCGAACGGUAACAGGAAACAGCUUGCUGUUUCGCUGACGAGUGGCGGACGGGUGAGUAAUGUCUGGGAAACUGCCUGAUGGAGGGGGAUAACUACUGGAAACGGUAGCUAAUACCGCAUGACGUCGCAAGACCAAAGAGGGGGACCCUCGGGCCUCUUGCCAUCGGAUGUGCCCAGAUGGGAUUAGCUUGUUGGUGGGGUAACGGCUCACCAAGGCGACGAUCCCUAGCUGGUCUGAGAGGAUGACCAGCCACACUGGAACUGAGACACGGUCCAGACUCCUACGGGAGGCAGCAGUGGGGAAUAUUGCACAAUGGGCGCAAGCCUGAUGCAGCCAUGCCGCGUGUAUGAAGAAGGCCUUCGGGUUGUAAAGUACUUUCAGCGGGGAGGAAGGGAGUAAAGUUAAUACCUUUGCUCAUUGACGUUACCCGCAGAAGAAGCACCGGCUAACUACGUG